RNAcentral lists this ribosomal RNA (1467 nucleotides) under uncultured bacterium. RNAcentral describes it as "bacterial SSU rRNA". It matches the Rfam family "Bacterial small subunit ribosomal RNA". The record is from RNAcentral.
AGAGUUUGAUCCUGGCUCAGAACGUACGCUGGCGGCACGCCUAACACAUGCAAGUCGAACGAAGUAGCAAUACUUAGUGGCAGACGGGUGAGUAACAUGUAGGUAUCUGCCCUUUGGCCUGGAAUAACACGAGGAAACUUGUGCUAAUACCGGAUAAGUCUUUACGGAGAAAGCUUUAUGCACCAUUGGAUGAGCCUGCACUUGAUUAGUUUGUUGGUGGGGUAAUGGUCUACCAAGACUGUGAUCAAUAGCUGAUUUGAGAGGAUGAUCAGCCACAUUGGGACUGAGACACGGCCCAAACUCCUACGGGAGGCAGCAGUGGGGAAUCUUGCACAAUGGAGGAAACUCUGAUGCAGCGAUGCCGCGUGAGUGAAGAAGGCCCUUGGGUUGUAAAGCUCUUUCGUCGGGGAAGAAAAUGACUGUACCCGAAUAAGAAGGUCCGGCUAACUUCGUGCCAGCAGCCGCGGUAAUACGAAGGGACCUAGCGUAGUUCGGAAUUACUGGGCUUAAAGAGCUCGUAGGUGGUUAAAAAAGUUGAUGGUGAAAUCCCAAGGCUUAACCUUGGAACUGCUAUUAAAACUUUUUAACUAGAGUGUGAUAGAGGAAAGUGGAAUUUCUAGUGUAGAGGUGAAAUUCGUAGAUAUUAGAAAGAAUACCAAUUGCGAAGGCAGCUUUCUGGAUCAUUACUGACACUGAGGAACGAAAGCAUGGGUAGCGAAGAGGAUUAGAUACCCUCGUAGUCCAUGCCGUAAACGAUGUGUGUUAGACGUUGGAAAUUUAUUUUCAGUGUCGCAGCGAAAGCGAUAAACACACCGCCUGGGGAGUACGACCGCAAGGCUAAAACUCAAAUGAAUUGACGGGGACCCGCACAAGUAGUGGAGCGUGUGGUUUAAUUCGAAGAUACGCGCAGAACCUUACCAACACUUGACAUGUUCGUCGCGACUCUAAGAGAUUAGAGUUUUCGGUUCGGCCGGACGAAACACAGGUGCUGCAUGGCUGUCGUCAGCUCGUGUCGUGAGAUGUUGGGUUAAGUCCCGCAACGAGCGCAACCCUCACUUUUAGUUGCCAUCAUUAAGUUGGGCACUCUGAAAGAACUGCCAGUGAUAAGCUGGAGGAAGGUGGGGAUGACGUCAAGUCCUCAUGGCCCUUACGUGUUGGGCUACACACGUGCUACAAUGGUAUCUACAACAGGAAGCAAGACUGCGAAGUUAAGCAAAUCCCUAAAAGAUACCUCAGUUCGGAUUGCACUCUGCAACUCGAGUGCAUGAAGCUGGAAUUACUAGUAAUCGUGGAUCAGCGUGCCACGGUGAAUGCGUUCCCGGGUCUUGUACACACCGCCCGUCACACCAUGGGAGUUGGUUCUACCUUAAGGCAAGGUUUCAAACCCUUGACCACGGUAUAGUCAGCGACUGGGGUGAAGUCGUAACAAGGUAGCCGUAGGGGAACCUGCGGCUGGAUCACCUCCUU